GGGAAUUUUGCACAAUGGGGGAAACCCUGAUGCAGCGACGCCGCGUGAUUUAGAAGGCCUUCGGGUUGUAAAAAUCUUUUGUAUAGGAAGAAAAUGACAGUACUAUACGAAUAAGGUCCGGCUAAUUACGUGCCAGCAGCCGCGGUAAUACGUAAGGACCGAGCGUUGUCCGGAAUCAUUGGGCGUAAAGGGUACGUAGGCGGUUUUUUAAGUUAGAAGUCAAAGGCUAUAGCUCAACUAUAGUAAGCUUCUAAAACUGGGAAACUUGAGUAAUGGAAGGGAAAGUGGAAUUCCUAGUGUAGCGGUGGAAUGCGCAGAUAUUAGGAGGAAUACCGGUGGCGAAGGCGACUUUCUGGCCAUUAACUGACGCUGAGGUACGAAAGCGUGGGUAGCAAACA
This 398-nucleotide ribosomal RNA is filed under the name uncultured bacterium. Its description in RNAcentral is "bacterial SSU rRNA". It matches the Rfam family "Bacterial small subunit ribosomal RNA", at positions 357 to 774 of the family's 1533-position model. The record is from RNAcentral.